This 253-nucleotide ribosomal RNA is filed under the name uncultured bacterium. RNAcentral describes it as "partial 16S ribosomal RNA". It matches the Rfam family "Bacterial small subunit ribosomal RNA", at positions 524 to 776 of the family's 1533-position model. The record is from RNAcentral.
UACGUAGGGGGCGAGCGUUGUCCGGAUUUAUUGGGCGUAAAGAGCUCGUAGGCGGUCUGUCGCGUCGGCUGUGAAAACUCGGGGCUCAACCCCGAGCCUGCAGUCGAUACGGGCAGACUAGAGUGCUGUAGGGGAGACUGGAAUUCCUAGUGUAGCGGUGAAAUGCGCAGAUAUCAGGAGGAACACCGGUGGCGAAGGCGGGUCUCUGGGCCGAUACUGACGCUGAGGAGCGAAAGCGUGGGGAGCAAACAGG